RNAcentral lists this ribosomal RNA (492 nucleotides) under uncultured bacterium. RNAcentral describes it as "partial 16S ribosomal RNA". It matches the Rfam family "Bacterial small subunit ribosomal RNA", at positions 29 to 507 of the family's 1533-position model. The record is from RNAcentral.
AGUGAACGCUGGCGGUAGGCCUAACACAUGCAAGUCGAACGGCAGCACAGUAAGAGCUUGCUCUUACGGGUGGCGAGUGGCGGACGGGUGAGGCAUACAUCGGAAUCUACUUUUUCGUGGGGGAUAACGUAGGGAAACUUACGCUAAUACCGCAUACGACCUACGGGUGAAAGCAGGGGAUCUUCGGACCUUGCGCGAUUGAAUUAGCCGAUGUCGGAUUAGCUAGUUGGCGGGGUAAAGGCCCACCAAGGCGACGAUCCGUAGCUGGACUGAGAGGAUGAUCAGCCACACUGGAACUGAGACACGGUCCAGACUCCUACGGGAGGCAGCAGUGGGGAAUAUUGGGCAAUGGGCGCAAGCCUGACCCAGCCAUACCGCGUGGGUGAAGAAGGCCUUCGGGUUGUAAAGCCCUUUUGUUAGGAAAGAAAAGCAGCAGGUUAAUACCCCGCUGUUCUGACGGUACCCAAAGAGUAAGCACCGGCUAACUUCGUG